Molecule: ribosomal RNA, 484 nt
Filed under: uncultured bacterium
Lineage: Bacteria
Description: partial 16S ribosomal RNA
Rfam family: Bacterial small subunit ribosomal RNA
Source: RNAcentral
AUUGAACGCUGGCGGCAGGCCUAACACAUGCAAGUCGAGCGGAUGAAGGGAGCUUGCUCCUGGAUUCAGCGGCGGACGGGUGAGUAAUGCCUAGGAAUCUGCCUGGUAGUGGGGGAUAACGUCCGGAAACGGGCGCUAAUACCGCAUACGUCCUGAGGGAGAAAGUGGGGGAUCUUCGGACCUCACGCUAUCAGAUGAGCCUAGGUCGGAUUAGCUAGUUGGUGGGGUAAAGGCCUACCAAGGCGACGAUCCGUAACUGGUCUGAGAGGAUGAUCAGUCACACUGGAACUGAGACACGGUCCAGACUCCUACGGGAGGCAGCAGUGGGGAAUAUUGGGCAAUGGGCGAAAGCCUGAUCCAGCCAUGCCGCGUGUGUGAAGAAGGUCUUCGGAUUGUAAAGCACUUUAAGUUGGGAGGAAGGGCAGUAAGUUAAUACCUUGCUGUUUUGGCGUUACCAACAGAAUAAGCACCGGCUAACUUCGUG